RNAcentral lists this ribosomal RNA (460 nucleotides) under uncultured bacterium. RNAcentral's name for it is "partial 16S ribosomal RNA". It matches the Rfam family "Bacterial small subunit ribosomal RNA", at positions 338 to 795 of the family's 1533-position model. The record is from RNAcentral.
CCUACGGGUGGCAGCAGUGAGGAAUAUUGGUCAAUGGGCGCGAGCCUGAACCAGCCAAGUAGCGUGAAGGAUGACUGCCCUACGGGUUGUAAACUUCUUUUAUCAAGGAAUAAAGUGAGCCACGUGUGCCUUUUUGUAUGUACUUUAUGAAUAAGGCUUGGCUAACUCCGUGCCAGCAGCCGCGGUAAUACGGAGGAUCCGAGCGUUAUCCGGGUUUAUUGGGUUUAAAGGGAGCGUUGGUGGGUAUGUAAGGUAGUUGGGAAAGUUUGCGGCUCAACCGUAAAAUUGCAAUUGAUACUGGCAGUCUUGAGUACAGUUGAGGUAUGCGGAAUUCGUGGUGUAGCGGUGAAAUGCUUAGAUAUCACGAAGAACUCCGAUUGCGAAGGCAGCUUACUAAACUGCCACUGACAUUGAAGCUCGAAAGUGUGGGUAUCGAACAGGAUUAGAUACCCCAGUAGUC